GGCUGUAAACCUCUUUUAUCAAGGAAGAAGAUCUGACGGUACUUGAUGAAUAAGCCACGGCUAAUUCCGUGCCAGCAGCCGCGGUAAUACGGGAGUGGCAAGCGUUAUCCGGAAUUAUUGGGCGUAAAGCGUCCGCAGGCGGCCUCGUAAGUCUGUCGUUAAAGCGUGGAGCUUAACUCCAUUAAGGCGAUGGAAACUGUGAGGCUUGAGUGUGGUAGGGGCAGAGGGAAUUCCCGGUGUAGCGGUGAAAUGCGUAGAUAUCGGGAAGAACACCAGUGGCGAAGGCGCUCUGCUGGGCCAUAACUGACGCUCAUGGACGAAAGCCAGGGGAGCGAAAGGGAUUAGAUACCCCUGUAGUCCUGGCCGUAAACGAUGAACACUAGGUGUCGGGGGAAUCGACCCCCUCGGUGUCGUAGCCAACGCGUUAAGUGUUCCGCCUGGGGAGUACGCACGCAAGUGUGAAACUCAAAGGAAUUGACGGGGGCCCGCACAAGCGGUGGAGUAUGUGGUUUAAUUCGAUGCAACGCGAAGAACCUUACCAGGGUUUGACAUCCUGCGAAUCCCUUGGAAACGGGGGAGUGCCUUCGGGAGCGCAGUGACAGGUGGUGCAUGGCUGUCGUCAGCUCGUGUCGUGAGAUGUUGGGUUAAGUCCCGCAACGAGCGCAACCCACGUCUUUAGUUGCCAGCAUUCAGUUGGGCACUCUAGAGAGACCGCCGGUGAUAAACCGGAGGAAGGUGUGGAUGACGUCAAGUCAUCAUGCCCCUUACAUCCUGGGCUACACACGUACUACAAUGCUACGGACAAAGGGCAGCAAACUCGCGAGAGCUAGCAAAUCCCAUAAACCGUGGCUCAGUUCAGGUCGUAGGCUGCAACUCGCCUACGUGAAGGAGGAAUCGCUAGUAAUCGCAGGUCAGCAUACUGCGGU
Molecule: ribosomal RNA, 926 nt
Filed under: uncultured cyanobacterium
Lineage: Bacteria; Bacillati; Cyanobacteriota
Description: bacterial SSU rRNA
Rfam family: Bacterial small subunit ribosomal RNA
Source: RNAcentral